RNAcentral lists this ribosomal RNA (465 nucleotides) under uncultured Klebsiella sp. Its description in RNAcentral is "bacterial SSU rRNA". It matches the Rfam family "Bacterial small subunit ribosomal RNA", at positions 338 to 795 of the family's 1533-position model. Lineage: Bacteria; Pseudomonadati; Pseudomonadota; Gammaproteobacteria; Enterobacterales; Enterobacteriaceae. The record is from RNAcentral.
CCUACGGGUGGCUGCAGUGGGGAAUAUUGCACAAUGGGCGCAAGCCUGAUGCAGCCAUGCCGCGUGUGUGGAGAAGGCCUUCGGGUUGUAAAGCACUUUCAGCGGGGAGGAAGGCGGUGAGGUUAAUAACCUCAUCGAUUGACGUUACCCGCAGAAGAAGCACCGGCUAACUCCGUGCCAGCAGCCGCGGUAAUACGGAGGGUGCAAGCGUUAAUCGGAAUUACUGGGCGUAAAGCGCACGCAGGCGGUCUGUCAAGUCGGAUGUGAAAUCCCCGGGCUCAACCUGGGAACUGCAUUCGAAACUGGCAGGCUAGAGUCUUGUAGAGGGGGGUAGAAUUCCAGGUGUAGCGGUGAAAUGCGUAGAGAUCUGGAGGAAUACCGGUGGCGAAGGCGGCCCCCUGGACAAAGACUGACGCUCAGGUGCGAAAGCGUGGGGAGCAAACAGGAUUAGAUACCCGUGUAGUC